GGAGUGGAGCCUGCGGCUUAAUUUGACUCAACACGGGGAACCUCACCCGGCCCGGACACCGCGAGGAUUGACAGAUUGAGAGCUCUUUCUCGAUUCGGUGGGUGGUGGUGCAUGGCCGUUCUUAGUUGGUGGAGCGAUUUGUCUGGUUAAUUCCGAUAACGAACGAGACUCUAGCCGGUUAAGUAGCCCGGAGCGGUUUUUGAUCUUUGCCGUCCGUCCUUUGUUUUUUUCCCUUUUUCCCGUCCUCGGCCGACCGGUUCGGUGGGUACGAGGGAAGGCGGGGUGGCGGAGGGGUCAUCCGCAGUGUGCCGUUCGCGGUACCUGCGGGGAAGCCUUUUCGUCGCUCUUCAACCUUCUCGCCGUCUUUGCCGUUUCCCGAGCGGUCGAGACGGAAGGGGAGCUUAGGCGGAAGCAUAACCGAAGGCCGCCGGCUUUUACAGGAAGCUUCUUAGAGGGACGAGCGGCGUUCAGCCGCCCGAGAUUGAGCGAUAACAGGUCUGUGAUGCCCUUAGAUGUCCGGGGCCGCACGCGCGCUACACUGAAGGGCUCAGCGUGCUCGUUUCUCCCGAGCCGACAGGCUCGGGGAACCCGUUGAAACCCUUUCGUGCUAGGGACAGGGACUUGCAAUUGUGUCCCUCCAACGAGGAAUUCCCAGUAAGCGCGAGUCAUCAGCUCGCGUUGAUUACGUCCCUGCCCUUUGUACACACCGCCCGUCGCUACUACCGAUUGAACGAUUUAGUGAGGUCUUCGGACCGGUGGCCGUUCCGAGCCGUCGCUACCUUUUCGGGGUCGGCGGUUUUUUCUUUCGGGGUCGGCCGGCCGGGAAGAUGCCC
RNAcentral lists this ribosomal RNA (833 nucleotides) under Ooperipatus caesius. Its description in RNAcentral is "bacterial SSU rRNA". It matches the Rfam family "Eukaryotic small subunit ribosomal RNA", at positions 1173 to 1760 of the family's 1831-position model. The record is from RNAcentral. Lineage: Eukaryota; Metazoa; Onychophora; Udeonychophora; Euonychophora; Peripatopsidae.